AGCAUUUACAACUGAGCUGUAUGUACCUAACUCCAUUUAUCUUUUAAGUGUUUAGUUCCCAGUACACUGGAGUGUUGAAGAAAAAAAUACUAAUGAAUCUGAAGAAUGAUGGACCCUUCAGUCCAAUGCCAUCUAGCCAACAGUGAUGUUUCAAGACAACUGAAUGAUCAGAUCAUGGGCAUCUCAAGAGAGUCAUGAGGGACUUCUGGGGACAACACUGUCAGGUUCCAGCAGUACAACAUCCUGCAAAGGACAUGGAACUUCCAUCAGAUAGCCUUUGGGGCCCAGGAAACUGUAUGGAGAUGUCAUAGGAACAGAUGCAACAACAAGUAAGUACUGCUACAGUGUACAUGGCACCUGCCUGAGUCUACGGAAAGCCUGAAGCAGUGGUUCUGAGAUGGCACUCUUCAAGAGGAG
This is a long non-coding RNA of Gallus gallus (chicken), 417 nucleotides long. Lineage: Eukaryota; Metazoa; Chordata; Aves; Galliformes; Phasianidae. The record is from Ensembl.